RNAcentral lists this ribosomal RNA (253 nucleotides) under uncultured bacterium. RNAcentral describes it as "partial 16S ribosomal RNA". It matches the Rfam family "Bacterial small subunit ribosomal RNA", at positions 524 to 776 of the family's 1533-position model. The record is from RNAcentral.
GACAGAGGGUGCAAACGUUGUUCGGAAUUACUGGGCGUAAAGCGAGUGUAGGCGGUGUGGUAAGUCGGAUGUGAAAGCCCCGGGCUCAACCCGGGAAGUGCACUCGAUACUGCCACGCUAGAGUAUCGGAGAGGUUGGUGGAAUUCUCGGUGUAGAGGUGAAAUUCGUAGAUAUCGAGAGGAACACCGGUGGCGAAGGCGGCUCUCUGGACCGAUACUGACGCUGAGGCGCGAAAGCGUGGGGAGCAAACAGG